GAUGAACGCUGGCGGCGUGCCUAAUACAUGCAAGUCGAGCGAACAGACGAGGAGCUUGCUCCUCUGACGUUAGCGGCGGACGGGUGAGUAACACGUGGAUAACCUACCUAUAAGACUGGGAUAACUUCGGGAAACCGGAGCUAAUACCGGAUAAUAUAUUGAACCGCAUGGUUCAAUAGUGAAAGACGGUUUUGCUGUCACUUAUAGAUGGUUCCGCGCCACAUUAGCUAGUUGGUAAGGUAACGGCUUACCAAGGCAACGAUGCGUAGCCGACCUGAGAGGGUGAUCGGCCACACUGGAACUGAGACACGGUCCAGACUCCUACGGGAGGCAGCAGUAGGGAAUCUUCCGCAAUGGGCGAAAGCCUGACGGAGCAACGCCGCGUGAGUGAUGAAGGUCUUCGGAUCGUAAAACUCUGUUAUUAGGGAAGAACAAAUGUGUAAGUAACUAUGCACGUCUUGACGGUACCUAAUCAGAAAGCCACGGCUAACUACGUG
This 497-nucleotide ribosomal RNA is filed under the name uncultured bacterium. RNAcentral's name for it is "partial 16S ribosomal RNA". It matches the Rfam family "Bacterial small subunit ribosomal RNA", at positions 28 to 507 of the family's 1533-position model. The record is from RNAcentral.